GAUGAAGAACGCAGCGAAAUGCGAUAAGUAAUGUGAAUUGCAGAAUUCAGUGAAUCAUCGAAUCUUUGAACGCACAUUGCGCCCUCUGGUAUUCCGGGGGGCAUGCCUGUUCGAGCGUCAUUAUAACCACUCAAGCUCUCGCUUGGUAUUGGGGUUCGCGGUUCCGCGGCCCCUAAAAUCAGUGGCGGUGCCUGUCGGCUCUACGUGUAGUAAUACUCCUCGCGAUUGAGUCCGGUAGGUCUACUUGCCAGCAACCCCCAAUUUUUACAGGUUGACCUCGGAUCAGGUAGGGAUACCCGCUGAACUUAAGCAUAUCAAUAAGCGGAGGA
RNAcentral lists this unclassified non-coding RNA (329 nucleotides) under soil metagenome. RNAcentral describes it as "partial contains 5.8S ribosomal RNA, internal transcribed spacer 2, and large subunit ribosomal RNA". The stretch from base 1 to 120 matches the Rfam family "5.8S ribosomal RNA", at positions 35 to 154 of the family's 154-position model. The record is from RNAcentral.